Molecule: ribosomal RNA, 468 nt
Filed under: uncultured bacterium
Lineage: Bacteria
Description: partial 16S ribosomal RNA
Rfam family: Bacterial small subunit ribosomal RNA
Source: RNAcentral
GACGAACGCUGGCGGCGUGCUUAACACAUGCAAGUCGAACGGAAAGGCCCUGCUUUUGUGGGGUGCUCGAGUGGCGAACGGGUGAGUAACACGUGAGUAACCUGCCCUUGACUUUGGGAUAACUUCAGGAAACUGGGGCUAAUACCGGAUAGGAGCUCCUGCUGCAUGGUGGGGGUUGGAAAGUUUCGGCGGUUGGGGAUGGACUCGCGGCUUAUCAGCUUGUUAGUGGGGUAGUGGCUUACCAAGGCUUUGACGGGUAGCCGGCCUGAGAGGGUGACCGGCCACAUUGGGACUGAGAGACGGCGCAGACUCCUACGGGAGGCAGCAGUGGAGAAUAUUGCACAAUGGGCGGAAGCCUGAUGCAGCAACGCCGCGUGCGGGAUGACGGCCUUCGGGUUGUAAACCGCUUUCGCCUGUGACGAAGCGUGAGUGACGGUAAUGGGUAAAGAAGCACCGGCUAACUACGUG